CCCGUCCUGAAGGCCUAGAGGGUGCCCCCUGUGCCCCGCGGCUCCCCAGCACCUGCUUCUCGUUUCACAUCUUCAAGUUUGACUGCCCUGACACUGCCAUACUGUAAGGAAGCUUAAAACAGCUCAUAUGGAGAAACCACAUGGAGAAGACCUGAGACUUCAGAGAAAGAGAGAUAGAUGCUUUGCCAGCUGCAUGCUAAUCCAGUUUCAAUCAUUGUUUGGCUGCAACAGCAUGAGAGAUCCCAAACUAGAACUACCCAGCUGAGCCCUUCCCAAAUUCUUCAGCCACAGAAAGUAUGAGAGACAGUAAAAUCAGUGUUUUUAUUUUAA
RNAcentral lists this long non-coding RNA (330 nucleotides) under Homo sapiens (human). RNAcentral describes it as "non-protein coding lnc-CCDC113-1:1". Lineage: Eukaryota; Metazoa; Chordata; Mammalia; Primates; Hominidae. The record is from RNAcentral.